Non-coding RNA from Acanthosepion pharaonis, 99 nucleotides. NCBI's taxonomy places the organism in Eukaryota, Metazoa, Mollusca, Cephalopoda, Sepiida, Sepiidae. The record is from the annotation of a GenBank genome assembly.
UGUUUAAACACCUGUUUCCGUACGAUCACCGAAGUUAAGCAACGUCAAGCCUGGUCAGUACCUAGAUGGUUGACCGCUUGAGAAUACCAGGUGUUGUAA